GAUGAACGCUGGCGGCGUGCCUAAUACAUGCAAGUCGAGCGAACGGACGAGAAGCUUGCUUCUCUGAUGUUAGCGGCGGACGGGUGAGUAACACGUGGAUAACCUACCUAUAAGACUGGGAUAACUUCGGGAAACCGGAGCUAAUACCGGAUGAUAUUUUGAACCGCAUGGUUCAAAAGUGAAAGAUGGUCUUGCUGUCACUUAUAGAUGGAUCCGCGCUGCAUUAGCUAGUUGGUAAGGUAACGGCUUACCAAGGCAACGAUGCAUAGCCGACCUGAGAGGGGGAGCGGCCAGACGGGAACUGAGACACGGGCCCGACGCCGAAGGGAGGCAGCGGUAGGGAAUCGUCGGCGUUGGGGGAAUGUCAAACGGAGGAAAGAGGGGUGAGUGAUAGGGGUAUUCGGAUCGGAAAACUCUGUGAUUAGAGAAGAACAUAUCUGUAAGUAACUGUGCACAGGUAGACGGUACCUAAUCAGAAAGCCACCGCUAAUUACGGC
Molecule: ribosomal RNA, 497 nt
Filed under: uncultured bacterium
Lineage: Bacteria
Description: partial 16S ribosomal RNA
Rfam family: Bacterial small subunit ribosomal RNA
Source: RNAcentral